RNAcentral lists this ribosomal RNA (220 nucleotides) under uncultured fungus. RNAcentral's name for it is "partial small subunit ribosomal RNA". The stretch from base 36 to 220 matches the Rfam family "Eukaryotic small subunit ribosomal RNA", at positions 677 to 863 of the family's 1831-position model. Lineage: Eukaryota; Fungi. The record is from RNAcentral.
GGGUUUAGCUUUCGGUCCGUGGUUUCUAUCAUGUGUACUGUUUUUGUCUAUUCCCAUCCUUGUAGUGAAUGUACCUGGCAUUUAGUUGUCGGGUGCAGGAGCUGCAUCGUUUACUGUGAAAAAAUUAGAGUGUUUAAAGCAGGCUUAUGCCGUGAAUACAUUAGCAUGGAAUGAUAUUAUAGGUCCUAAUAACUAUUUUAUUGGUUUGCAUUGUUAGGAA